Molecule: ribosomal RNA, 662 nt
Filed under: uncultured bacterium
Lineage: Bacteria
Description: bacterial SSU rRNA
Rfam family: Bacterial small subunit ribosomal RNA
Source: RNAcentral
CAGUCGAGCGAAGCGCUUAAGUUUGAUUCUCCGGAUGAAGACUUUUGUGACUGACCGGCGGACGGGUGAGUAACGCGUGGGUAACCUGCCUCAUACAGGGGGAUAACAGUUAGAAAUGACUGCUAAUACCGCAUAAGACCACAGUACCGCAUGGUACAGUGGUAAAAACUCCGGUGGUAUGAGAUGGACCCGCGUCUGAUUAGGUAGUUGGUGGGGUAACGGCCUACCAAGCCGACGAUCAGUAGCCGACCUGAGAGGGUGACCGGCCACAUUGGGACUGAGACACGGCCCAGACUCCUACGGGAGGCAGCGGUGGGGAAUAUUGCACAAUGGAGGAAACUCUGAUGCAGCGACGCCGCGUGAAGGAUGAAGUAUUUCGGUAUGUAAACUUCUGUCAGCAGGGGAGAAAAUGACGGUACCUGACUAAGAAGCCCCGGCUAACUACGUGCCAGCAGCCGCGGUAAUACGUAGGGGGCAAGCGUUAUCCGGAUUUACUGGGUGUAAAGGGAGCGUAGACGGCACGGCAAGCCAGAUGUGAAAGCCCGGGGCUCAACCCCGGGACUGCAUUUGGAACUGCUGAGCUAGAGUGUCGGAGAGGCAAGUGGAAUUCCUAGUGUAGCGGUGAAAUGCGUAGAUAUUAGGAGGAACACCAGUGGCGAAGG